Molecule: long non-coding RNA, 259 nt
Organism: Neopelma chrysocephalum (saffron-crested tyrant-manakin)
Lineage: Eukaryota; Metazoa; Chordata; Aves; Passeriformes; Pipridae
Exons: 3
Source: RefSeq, a predicted model, not a curated record
AGAGUAGUCUGAAACGACCAGAAGAUCCACGGGGAUGGAAGUGUUCUGAAGGAGGAAGGUCCCCAGUGAAAAGGAAGGAUGAGUUUGAAGCAUUACUUUCCCUGCAGUUGCAGUGCAGUGCUCUAGGAAACAGGCUGGUAUCUGUCCUCUUCAUCCCACCUUGAUUUCCAGUGCUGGAGCCUGUGUAUCCCCAGUGAAGAUUCCUCCAGUGAGUUUGACUCUCACUGUGAAGAUACCACAGUCUAUCAACUCGCGAGCA